AAAAGGAAUAGACUGCUCUAAGACUUGCAGUUGAAUGAGGAACUUUGUGCAUUAAAGAAAAUUAUGGAAAGCCAUUUUGUGGGCUGGGGGCGGAGGGUGGAAAGACUUGAUGUGCAUUGUCAACUAAAUUAAUGAACUGUCAUCUAUCCAGUGAGUUUACCGAAGAGCCUACAGAAAUGUGAACAAAUGGGAUAUCACCAGAGCCACAGAUGCUCAGGUGCUGUUUUGUUUUCCUGGCUUUUUCCACACAAACUGAGGAAACAUUUUGUCUGGAAAAUUACAAGGUCGGCUCGUGCCAGAAGCUAUUGUUGGAGAAACAGCCCAGUGACGCCAUUAAACAGGCCACAGUUAAUUAGUAGCAAACCCUGAAGAUGCUUCUUACAUUAUGACACAGAGAGAUAGUGGAGAAAGCAAGAAAAAGGAAAAUCUGGAUAGGGGACUUCAAAAUGGAAUGUUUCUUAAAAAAAAUUAAUAUGGAAGAAUUAAAAAAAAAAAAAGCUCGGGAAUGUGAGGUUGUCAGUCUUUUCUUCCUUCAAGUACAAGUGCUUGAGAUAUUUUCAAAAACUAGCAACAACUCUGUGUGACAGCAUCCUCUCC
Manacus vitellinus (golden-collared manakin) is the source of this 597-nucleotide long non-coding RNA. NCBI's taxonomy places the organism in Eukaryota, Metazoa, Chordata, Aves, Passeriformes, Pipridae. The record is from Ensembl.